AAAAAAAACUUGAGAGGGAGCUCCAAGAAGAUGACACAGCUCAAAAUAAAAAUUAGGUAUAUUCUCGUAAAGUCAAGUGAGCCAUGACAUAUGAGCUCUUAUUGUGAGCACACAGGACGGUGGCAUCUUUCUAAGCACCAGGUGUGGCCACUAGCCUAUAUGAAGGCCCAAAAUUG
Long non-coding RNA from Cyprinus carpio (common carp), 176 nucleotides. RefSeq lists it as uncharacterized. The transcript has 3 exons. The record is from RefSeq and is a predicted model, not a curated record. Lineage: Eukaryota; Metazoa; Chordata; Actinopteri; Cypriniformes; Cyprinidae.